RNAcentral lists this ribosomal RNA (468 nucleotides) under uncultured bacterium. RNAcentral describes it as "partial 16S ribosomal RNA". It matches the Rfam family "Bacterial small subunit ribosomal RNA", at positions 28 to 507 of the family's 1533-position model. The record is from RNAcentral.
GACGAACGCUGGCGGCGUGCUUAACACAUGCAAGUCGAACGGAAAGGCCCUGCUUUUGUGGGGUGCUCGAGUGGCGAACGGGUGAGUAACACGUGAGUAACCUGCCCUUGACUUUGGGAUAACUUCAGGAAACUGGGGCUAAUACCGGAUAGGAGCUCCUGCUGCAUAGUGGGGGUUGGAAAGUUUCGGCGGCUGGGGAUGGACUCGCGGCUUAUCAGCUUGUUGGUGGGGUAGUGGCUUACCAAGGCUUUGACGGGUAGCCGGCCUGAGAGGGUGACCGGCCACAUUGGGACUGAGAUACGGCCCAGACUCCUACGGGAGGCAGCAGUGGGGAAUAUUGCACAAUGGGCGGAAGCCUGAUGCAGCAACGCCGCGUGCGGGAUGACGGCCUUCGGGUUGUAAACCGCUUUCGCCUGUGACGAAGCGUGAGUGACGGUAAUGGGUAAAGAAGCACCGGCUAACUACGUG